Oryctes borbonicus is the source of this 47-nucleotide non-coding RNA. The record is from Rfam. Lineage: Eukaryota; Metazoa; Arthropoda; Insecta; Coleoptera; Scarabaeidae.
AGAACGGUUCUUUUGAGAACCAGCAAUUAUUUUACAAAAAAUCGUGU